Molecule: ribosomal RNA, 694 nt
Filed under: Lactiplantibacillus plantarum
Lineage: Bacteria; Bacillati; Bacillota; Bacilli; Lactobacillales; Lactobacillaceae
Description: Lactobacillus plantarum partial 16S ribosomal RNA
Rfam family: Bacterial small subunit ribosomal RNA
Source: RNAcentral
GACGAANUCUGAUGAGCANGNCGCNUGNNUGANGAAGGGUUUNGNUCGUNAANUCNGUUGUUAAAGAANACAUAUCUGAGAGUACUNUCAGGUAUUGACGGUAUUUAACCAGAAANCNACGGCUAACUACGUGCCAGCAGCCGCGGUAAUACGUAGGUGGCAAGCGUUGUCCGGGAUUUAUUGGGCGUAAAGCGAGCGCAGGCGGUUUUUUAAGUCUGAUGUGAAAGCUUUCGGCUCAACCGAAGAAGUGCAUCGGAAACUGGGAAACUUGAGUGCAGAAGAGGACAGUGGAACUCCAUGUGUAGCGGUGAAAUGCGUAGAUAUAUGGAAGAACACCAGUGGCGAAGGCGGCUGUCUGGUCUGUAACUGACGCUGAGGCUCGAAAGUAUGGGUAGCAAACAGGAUUAGAUACCCUGGUAGUCCAUACCGUAAACGAUGAAUGCUAAGUGUUGGAGGGUUUCCGCCCUUCAGUGCUGCAGCUAACGCAUUAAGCAUUCCGCCUGGGGAGUACGGCCGCAAGGCUGAAACUCAAAGGAAUUGACGGGGGCCCGCACAAGCGGUGGAGCAUGUGGUUUAAUUCGAAGCUACGCGAAGAACCUUACCAGGUCUUGACAUACUAUGCAAAUCUAAGAGAUUAGACGUUCCCUUCGGGGACAUGGAUACAGGUGGUGCAUGGUUGUCGUCAGCUCGUGUC